GGUCCCUUCCAACCCUGAUAUUGUAUGAUUUUAUUAUCUCGGGCCCAGACACAACCAUAGGAACCUCCGUCUUUCAGUGUCCAGUUAUUCCCCCUGGGCGCUGCAACUUUAUAUGAGUUUAUCAAUUUAACAAAGAAAUUGAUAUGUACUAGGCUUGUUAUUCCAAAAUGAGUCUCUGACACGCUUCAAACCAAACGCACUG
Molecule: long non-coding RNA, 202 nt
Organism: Chelonia mydas (Green sea turtle)
Lineage: Eukaryota; Metazoa; Chordata; Testudines; Cheloniidae
Exons: 3
Source: RefSeq, a predicted model, not a curated record